Molecule: ribosomal RNA, 252 nt
Filed under: uncultured bacterium
Lineage: Bacteria
Description: partial 16S ribosomal RNA
Rfam family: Bacterial small subunit ribosomal RNA
Source: RNAcentral
UACGUAGGGGGCAAGCGUUGUCCGGAAUUAUUGGGCGUAAAGCGCGUGCAGGCGGCUUCUUAAGUCGGGUGUUUAAGACCGGGGCUCAACCCCGGCUCGCACCCGAAACUGGGAAGCUUGAGUGUAGGAGAGGAAAGUGGAAUUCCACGUGUAGCGGUGAAAUGCGUAGAGAUGUGGAGGAACACCAGUGGCGAAGGCGACUUUCUGGCCUAUAACUGACGCUGAGGCGCGAAAGCGUGGGGAGCAAACAGG